RNAcentral lists this long non-coding RNA (1369 nucleotides) under Sus scrofa (pig). Its description in RNAcentral is "lncRNA (ENSSSCG00070014506.1)". The record is from RNAcentral. Lineage: Eukaryota; Metazoa; Chordata; Mammalia; Artiodactyla; Suidae.
GGGUGGGUUUUGGACCAAGACUUCCUGCCCAGGAAAAAGUGGGCCAUGUGCACACACCUGCCCCUUUCUGGGGUCCCCGGCUCCCCGCAGGCCCUCCCUGCAGACCCCAUGCAGCCAAGCUUCCCCCCACUGCCCUCAGCUGUGGGGGCUGAGAGGGGCCAGCAGGGCUGGGGGCUGGGCAGUGGGAGUGCUCCUGUGCCUGUGUUUCUAUGAGGCCAGGGUGGGGUUGGGCUGGGGUCUGUGUUCCCAGGGGACCCCCGCCCUUCAUGCCCCACCUGCCCCCCAGGGCUUGGCUUUAGGCACACACCCCUCAGAGGGGACCCUCGGCAGGGUCAAGACCUGCCCAUGAGACCCCAGCUGGCACUCAGGCAGCCUUCCCGCAUCCAUCGCAGGGGGCACUUGUGCCUUCCGCACCUUCCCCACCCCCGUAAACACCAUCAGGACCAGCUCCCGGUCGCCUUUCUGGUGGAGAAGCUUCCUGGCCUCCAGCUGCUGGCUGCCCGGGCUGGCACAUUGGGCACACACGGACCAUCCCAGCUCUGCCCAGCCCCCAGGGAUUGGGGGGGAGGGGCAGGAUGAGGGGAGGGGUGGGGGCAGACGUGGAGGUUCCCCCACCCCACCCCGGUCAGGCCGCGCCCUGGCGAGGAAUCUUGGCGCAGGGCAGCCAGCUCUGAUGCCCAGGCGGCUUUGGUAUUUCACAUUGACAUAGUUUUGGGGUGAGACCAGGCUCUGGACUUUCAGUCAUACUGCGGGGUACCUGAGGCCAUGGUGGGCAGAGGGCACUGAACCCGCUGAGCUGAGGGUAGGAGCUCCUGGCUCAACCGCACCUGCCGGUCCUGCGUGGCCUGGAUACUCAGCUGAGAGAUGGGAAUAAGGGAAUUUGGGAAAAGAGAUGACGCAACGGGUGAAAAGGAGCCCCAGGACCCUGCCCCCAAGGCUGGCCGUCCAGGGAACCCUGGCCGACAACACCUGUCACCCAGGCAUGCUCAGCUUGGAAUCAGGUGAGAGUUCAGGUCUCUGCCAAUGGCUGGGCCCCCUCCCUGCAGGACCAUUUUCACUGGGGUCACCCACGGCCCCCCAGAGCCCCAUUUGGCAAGGACUGUCUUCAAAAACCGCUCUCUCGGGUAAACAGUGGCGUCUACUGGUUGUAGGUGCAACACAACUCCCGAGGAAUGAGUUCCUGGAAAAAUCCGGAGCAGAGAAGCUUUGGACAGUGUGUGUUUCUUUGUUGGUAAAUAAUCUCCACUAAGCGAGCUUGGCAGCCCUGCGGGCGCACCCGGGACAGGUGCUCUGGGCCUGGGCCUGUCCUCCGCACAAGAGCUGGACUCUAACCCUCCGCCCCACUGGGACCCAUGGAGGUGGAGGGGCG